AAGGCCUUAAGUUAAAUAUUCUAAACUAAUAACCUUCAAAGCUAUAAAUAAAGGGCUUUCCUUUAGGCCUUG
This 72-nucleotide transfer RNA is filed under the name Isognathotermes ugandensis. RNAcentral's name for it is "Cubitermes ugandensis tRNA-Trp". The record is from RNAcentral. RNAcentral also lists the same sequence under 1 other name. Lineage: Eukaryota; Metazoa; Arthropoda; Insecta; Blattodea; Termitidae.